This 345-nucleotide ribosomal RNA is filed under the name Triticum aestivum (bread wheat). RNAcentral's name for it is "partial small subunit ribosomal RNA". The record is from RNAcentral. Lineage: Eukaryota; Viridiplantae; Streptophyta; Magnoliopsida; Poales; Poaceae.
AUCACCAACGUCUAUGCCCCCUCGCAAAGGGAUCUAAAACUAGAUUUCCUAGAAGAGCUUAAACAAAUUGAACCACCACCACAAUCCCCAUGGCUCCUCAUCGGAGAUUUCAACCUAAUUCACUUCCCUAAUGAAAAGAACAAUCAGAACUUUCGCCGAUCUGAGGCUGAUGCCUUCAAUGACACGAUUGAUCAACUCGCGCUCCUUGAGCUCCCUCUUCUUGAUCGCCAAUUCACGUGGUCAAAUAAGAGGACAUCCCCCACACUUGUUCGACUAGAUAGAGUUCUUAUAAACAUAGCCUGGGAUGCACUUUUUCCAAACACUCACCUGACCUCUCUCACUUGA